This 1360-nucleotide long non-coding RNA is filed under the name Vulpes vulpes (red fox). RNAcentral's name for it is "lncRNA (ENSVVUG00000022511.1)". Lineage: Eukaryota; Metazoa; Chordata; Mammalia; Carnivora; Canidae. The record is from RNAcentral.
GGAGAGGCCCCCGCCCCGGGGUCAGCCCGCCUCCCACAGGCCUCUGCGCGCUUCCGGCCCCCGGGCGGCGCUGUCCGGCCCGGCCCGGCCCGCCCGCGCGGUUCGCGCCUCUGCCGUGUCUCCUCAACUGGCACGUUUGAGGACCAGGCCUUGAGAGAGCAAGAUGGCGGAACUGCGGUCAGGGGCUGCCGCUGCGUCUGCUUUGGCGGGAGAAGUGUUGAACUAUAUCCACUUCCUCGUUUCCUGUUCUACUCUCAGCAUUCGAGUCCGGGUAAGGAAAACCACUACAUUCUGCCUUGUAGUGUCAGAUGGCUGAUGGUUGGACUGAGAAAUGAUCUCCAUCCUUUCCACACUCCGUAAAUGAGGUCAACUGGCUGUCAGGUAGGUCUCUUGUCCCUCCUCUUUAGUCCCCUCCCCUCAUCUCAUUUUUCUCAUUGCCAUGUCUCUUUUAGUAUGACUACCCCUGGCAAUGACAUUUUGGACAAUGAAGUGUGCUGUUGAAAUGUAUUCUGGCUUAAUAGGAAUUUCUUCUAUAAUUCAUUCAACUUCUCAACCUGACUUCAUGAUCCACCAUAAUCCAUUAAAAUGAGAAAACUGGCACAUAGACCGGUUCAAUGUUUUAGUCCCAAAAUUAGUGACCAGAAUUCAGUUCUCUCACUUUCUAACAUGACUCCCUUUCUAUGUAAUGCCCAGACUUCAAUCAAAUGAACUAUAUGUAUUUUGUUGGAGACAGUUAUUUUCAGAGAAGGGCCUUAUCUUCAGCUCUGUUGUUCAGCAUGGCCAUGGUUUUCCUGUCAGUCCUAGUACUCUUUGAGGCAAAACAGCAUUGAUUGUGACAGUGAAGACACAGCCUGAUGACUGAGUUUGAGGCUGUUCAUUUAGAUCUGAGAAAGCCUUUUGUCACAGGGCUACACUUUGCUGGGGUCCUUUGCCCUUUUGACAAUGACUUUCUUCUAAGUCACUAAGUUUGAAGUUAAAGUUGGUUGAGAAGUUUAAAGAGGAGGGUACUGGAGGUUUGUAUAUUUUAAGAUAGAGUGCUGUGUAUUUGACAUAUGCAUUGAUAGAAGAUUGAAUAUCUCAGAAUUAUGUACAGUGCUAUUGCUUCUUAGAGCAUUUAAUGUGUAUGUGUUUAGUAAAACUUUUUACUAAGAUUAUUUUCAUUUUAAUCAAUUUUGUUGAACAUUUUGGAAAGAAAUCCACAUCCAACUGAAUUAAUCCAAGACAUAUUAUUUAUUUCCCCUUACAAACAUUACUUUAAAGUUUAAAAAUUCUUCAGCUAAUACCUGUAAACUCUUUGGGAUUUAGCAAAGUGAAUUUGUCAGUCUUUUCAUAUUUAUUGUGCUUAUGACUCAAAGAGAAA